GCCGGGCGCGGUGGCGCACGCCUGUAGUCCCAGCUACUCGGGAGGCUGAGGCUGGAGGAUCGCUUGAGCCCAGGAGUUCUGGGCUGUGGUGCGCUAUGCCGAUAGGGUGUCCGCACUAAGAUCGGCAUCAAUAUGGUGACUUUCCAGGAGCGGGGGGCCACCAGGUUGCCUAAGGAGGGGUGAACCGGCCCAGGUCGGAGACGGAGCAGGUCAAAGCUCCCGUGCUGAUCAGUAGUGGGAUCGCGCCUGUGAAUAGCCACUGCAUUCCAGCCUGGGCACUCCCUUGUAGGUAACUAACUGCUU
Non-coding RNA from Myotis lucifugus (little brown bat), 303 nucleotides. NCBI's taxonomy places the organism in Eukaryota, Metazoa, Chordata, Mammalia, Chiroptera, Vespertilionidae. The record is from Rfam.